UUUAAUGGUGACUUACUGGCACAAAACUCAGAUGUAGUAUGUAAAGUGUAAUAACAGAGCAUGUGGAGGUUUUUUUAUGUACAUUUCCAUCACCGGUGACAAUCGCCCAACAACACAUAAAAAACAUAAAUACACUGAAGUAUACUGAGCUGAGGAUCCCAGAGCAGCUGCAGUUACAUUUAAAAGAAACCUUCAAAUGUAGAUAUUUACCUUUUAAUUAAUGAAAAAUUGAAUUUCCCUUGAAUUUGGUCGUCGUUUCCAUUCUAGUUACUCUAAUUUGCAUCUUUCCUUUCAUGUUGUUUCAUAAUUCAUGUUCGAUGUGGUUUUUGUUAUCAGUUGUCGCUUCUCUUGUCAGAUUAAUGUCUAAUAUCUAAGUUUGAGGCUGUUGUUUCACUUUGAGCUGGUGUUGUUGUGCCGCCGCGCUUCUUGCAGGCGUUCAUGGAGGACGAAGGUCGUCAGAGGACCGCCAAGUUCAUCAGCCAUCGGUUUGUACCUAGAGAUGUGAACAGGCAGUUGAGUUGGCGUGGCGUCGCUCCGCUUGGCUCGAGCGUUGCUCUGCUCUGGUCCAACAGGUGUGUGGGCGUCAGUGAUCAGCUGCAGAUGUUUGCUAAAGAGAAGGAAAGAACAAGCUGCUGCUUGCCACGCCGGGCGCCAAAGCGGCGGCCCUCCUCCGAAACACCGACGGCACGAGACGACGGCAAACUCCUCCUGCCAAGAAAAAGAAAACGGGGAAAGGAAACCAAGAAGAGGAGGAGGAGGAGGAUGAAGGGCAGGCUGGUGAUGAGAGCACAGGGGGCAAGAGGUCAAAGGGCAAAGGAUGUAAAGCAAAAGGAAGCAAAAAGACCAAAGGAAAAAAAACAGCCGACGGCAGAGGACGGAGAACCCGAAGCUCCUGUCACGCAGCCUCCAGCCGGAGACGAAGCUGCAUCCUGCGACGAACCUCUGCCUCCUGAGGCGGAGACGGUUUCUGCAGCAGCUCCGGAGGAGCCGUCCAGCUCAGCUCCCGCCUCCUCUCCAACUCGCACUGAGGCUUCGAGCGCAGCAGAGGACGCCGCCGGCAGCAGAGACGAACCCGUGAGCGGCUGUAGCGUCGUUAGCCUGCUGGAGGUAGGCCCGGUCGCUCGGCCGUUCGGCGUCGUGUCGGAGGAUCGGCGCUCACGGCUCUCCUCCUGCAGGUCCCUCAUUCGUGCAGCGGUCUCGGGAGACGUACCGCCUGCUGAAGAGGAAGAACCUGAUCGUGGAGGCCAUCAACAACCUCAGGAUCAUCGAGGGUUUCUUCCCGCUGCAGAAGAUGAUCAUCGAGCAGGAGAAGCAGGAAGGCGUCAGUUCAAAGUGCUGCAAGAAAAACCGUCCUCCGUCUCGUCCAGGGCCUGUCGAAGAAAGGCUUGCUCAAGCUUUACACGACCUCCGUCGUCCAGGACGGGGUCACCAAGAAGGCGCGCGCACACACACUUUGUGAAAAAGCAGCGCCAUGCUCUAAAGGAUGACUCCGUUAAAAUCACACUCCGCUGUCCUCUUGCAGGUUGA
Molecule: long non-coding RNA, 1527 nt
Filed under: Salarias fasciatus (jewelled blenny)
Lineage: Eukaryota; Metazoa; Chordata; Actinopteri; Blenniiformes; Blenniidae
Description: lncRNA (ENSSFAG00005008384.1)
Source: RNAcentral